UCUCUCUCAGCUUACCUUCCCUCUCAUUCCCGGCAACACACCCAUGUCGAUACCCAAUGGAACACCCCGACAAUGACAACACCCUUGCCACAUUCACCAUCGUGGUAACUCUCUCCCUCUUUCUCUUCUCGGUGAAGCAUAGAGGCCACCCAACCCAUCCGCGAGCUCGAUUACUUCGAGCCUAGAUUCAGGCCACCUCCAGCUACCCCUUGUCGUGAAACAGGUGCAAUUAUUAGCGGUGAUUCCGUCAUUCCUAUUUCAUACGGCUCUACGACGACAGAGUAUCUGAUAUAGGAACGAGGAUUACGACCCGUGCUACGAGGCUUUCCCCUACCAGUGAUAUCGUGCCAUCACCUCUGCUUUGACAUCUUUGUGAUUGCACCUUCCAUUGUAUUCUGAAUUAGAUGUAUGCUCUAAACAUGUUAUGUAUUAUCAAUGUAUUUUCAUUGUUGGUAGUUGAA
Non-coding RNA from Malus domestica (apple), 461 nucleotides. NCBI's taxonomy places the organism in Eukaryota, Viridiplantae, Streptophyta, Magnoliopsida, Rosales, Rosaceae. The record is from RefSeq and is a predicted model, not a curated record.